AAAAAAAAAAAAAAAAAAAGAGGUGUAUUUGGCUCAUGGUUCUGCAGUCUUUACAGGAAGCAUGGUGCUGGCAUCUGCUCAGCUUCUAGGGAGGCCUCAGGAAGCUUACAAUCAUGGCAGAAGUUGAUGGGGGAUCAGGCACGUCACACGGUGAAAGGAGGAGCAAGAGAGAGAGAGAGAGUGGCGAGGGAGGUGCCCCACACAUUUAAACAACCAGAUCUGAUAAGAACUCACUAUCAUGAAGACAGCACCAAGCGAUGAGGGAUCCGCCCCCAUGAUCCAAACACCUCCCACCAGGCCCCCACCUCCAGAUUGAGGAUUACAAUUCAACAUGAGAUUUGGGUGGGGGCAAAUAGCCAAACUAUAUUAGGUGGUUACCAAGAACUGGGGAAAGAGUUAGUGAGUGCAGAGUUUCAGUAUGGGAUAAUAAAAAGUGCUAGAGAUGCAUGGUGAUUGAUGAUGGUUACACAAUAAUGUGAAUGUACUUAAUACCAAUUUAAGUACAUUUAAAAACAAUUAAAAUGAUAAAUUUUACCACAAAAAUUACAUAUAUGGCUUGUAUUAUAUUUCUGUUGGAUUGUACUGGUCUAGAAACACAACGUGUUUUAUAGUUAAUUGUGAUUAGUGGUCAUAAUUCACAAAUACUUUAAAAAAAAAAAAAAAAGCAAAAACACCCUUGGCAGGAUUUAUUUGAACAAAAUCAGGUGCCUGACCUCUACUUAACUACUAAUAUGAAACCACACUGGCAUAUGGCACACUAAGGAAGGGAGUCAUUUUUACUUACAAGCUGCAGCAGGCACAAGGAACCAAAUGGGCCACAGAGAUGCACAUUAGGCUGGAGAAAGGGCAGGCAUUGAUGUCAGGGUGGCAGAUGGUUUCUAAGGCCCAUGGGGAGUUCAAGAACUAGUGGACACAUGUCCAGGGUCCAGGGUUAGGGUAGUAUUUGAGCAAUGGUAUUUCAAUAGGGACUGAUUUUGUCAUCGUGCUAUAUGCACAAGAUGGCAUACAGUGAUGCAACAUGAAAUACCUCUUCCUCAAACCUCAAGUUUUGCUAAAAGAAGAAAUUUUUGGCCUCUCUCUACCCUCACUCCCUCCUCCCUAAAGGAAGCAGAGUGACUUAUCCCAUUGGCAAAUUUAGGAGAAGUCAUGGAGGAUGAAAACGCCUGCCCCCUUUCUCUCUGAUCAGCCUGUCUACAGAACAGACUGCUUUUAUGUGCUGAGGACAGAAGCCCUCAAGUUUGGCCUGGGUUUUGGGGUAAGUUUGCUUGCCCUCCAGGAUAGAUUAACUCUUACUUUCCUGCAGGGGGCCACCCCAGGGCCCCAGUUGAACACAGAGGCCCUAAGUAUUAGAGAGCUUGACUGGUGCUGCAGAUCCAUGCAUGACUUAGAAUUCUCUUUUAUUAACCUCAAAACUGACAUUGUCAAUUCCAUCUGUCUGAUUUCUGCAUCUCAUUUCUCAACUGGUUCCCAGUUUGAUGUGGGGAGAGAGGCAUUAGAAAUUAUCCUUCCUAAACCUCCUAAGAGCAGUUUUCAAAACAGUAAGAACAAAAACAGCAUAGCAAUAUUUCAUGUAUGGCUUUAAAAAAUACCCAUUUGAUGAAAGCCAAGACAUAAAUUAAGUCACAGUUCUGUAAGAAAGUAUUAUGUAGAAGGCAGGUAAAACAUUUCUGCAGGAUCGCAAAGGCUCUAAGCUGAAGCACAGCAAUCUGGGUUACACCAAGAAGACUGGGCUGUGUCUGUGGCAUCUGUGUGUAAAUGAUGCAUGCCAAGCACUUGCUAGAUUCAGGUAGCACAAGAGUGCUUUCUUUAACUC
RNAcentral lists this long non-coding RNA (1813 nucleotides) under Homo sapiens (human). Its description in RNAcentral is "HSALNT0040219". Lineage: Eukaryota; Metazoa; Chordata; Mammalia; Primates; Hominidae. The record is from RNAcentral.